AGAUCCUCAACAUGAUGCUCCUCUGACAAGUGUGAUGAACUGGCUUUUGCCUUCCGUCUCGCUGCCUUCUUCUUUUUCCGUUUCUCCUUCUUUUUGCUAGCCCUAAGCUCAGGGGAGAACUGUCUCAGAGGAGAAGAAGAAACAUUAUGCUCUCUAUACUCAUAAGCGGAAUGACGUGAUGGAGAAGGAGUUUUGUAGCGUGCUGGGACAUCACUCGUGGACAAACGACGCUGCACUGGUCUAGCAUCCUGCGGAGUAGUGUCUGCAAAAGCUGUGGUGGUGGAGGCGCAGCUAAAC
This 297-nucleotide long non-coding RNA is filed under the name Capsella rubella. Its description in RNAcentral is "long non-coding RNA (CRUB_LNC004213)". The record is from RNAcentral. Lineage: Eukaryota; Viridiplantae; Streptophyta; Magnoliopsida; Brassicales; Brassicaceae.